UACGUAGGGUGCGAGCGUUGUCCGGAAUUAUUGGGCGUAAAGAGCUCGUAGGCGGCUUGUCGCGUCGGAUGUGAAAGCCCGGGGCUUAACUCCGGGUCUGCAUUCGAUACGGGCAGGCUAGAGUUCGGUAGGGGAGAUCGGAAUUCCUGGUGUAGCGGUGAAAUGCGCAGAUAUCAGGAGGAACACCGGUGGCGAAGGCGGAUCUCUGGGCCGAUACUGACGCUGAGGAGCGAAAGCGUGGGGAGCGAUCCGG
Molecule: ribosomal RNA, 253 nt
Filed under: uncultured bacterium
Lineage: Bacteria
Description: partial 16S ribosomal RNA
Rfam family: Bacterial small subunit ribosomal RNA
Source: RNAcentral